This 348-nucleotide ribosomal RNA is filed under the name Saccharomyces cerevisiae (brewer's yeast). RNAcentral's name for it is "eukaryotic LSU rRNA". It matches the Rfam family "Eukaryotic large subunit ribosomal RNA", at positions 297 to 651 of the family's 3401-position model. Lineage: Eukaryota; Fungi; Ascomycota; Saccharomycetes; Saccharomycetales; Saccharomycetaceae. The record is from RNAcentral.
GGGUAAAUUCCAUCUAAAGCUAAAUAUUGGCGAGAGACCGAUAGCGAACAAGUACAGUGAUGGAAAGAUGAAAAGAACUUUGAAAAGAGAGUGAAAAAGUACGUGAAAUUGUUGAAAGGGAAGGGCAUUUGAUCAGACAUGGUGUUUUGUGCCCUCUGCUCCUUGUGGGUAGGGGAAUCCUCGCAUUUCACUUGGGGCCACGCAUGCAGUUUGGGUGGCAGGAUAAAUCCCAUAUGGAAUGUAGCUUGCCUCGGUCAGUAUUAUAGCCUGUGGUAAUACUGCCAGGUGGGGACUGAGGACUGCAACAUAAGUCAAGGAUGCUGGCCUGAUGGUUUAUAUGCCCGCCCA